GGGUCUCUAGGGCGUCUGCGCAGGAAGGUGCGUUGAGAUGGCAGUUGCCGGAGUUGGAGGCCGGGCGGCGACGAAAUUCCAUGGAAUUAUAGUUGGUCUACUCUGCAAUGUCUCUAUUUAAAAGCCCAAGUGAGGACAGACAAGAUGAACGUAGAACAUGAGAGAUAUCUGCAAGCCAACAACAAAGAAUUCAACAGUAUUUUUGGAUAUCCGAACAAUGCCAUCAAGACCUCAAAAUAUAGUGUCUUUAAUUUCCUGCCCCUGAACCUAUUUGAACAGUUCCAGAGACUUGCAAAUGCAUAUUUCCUCAUUUUGCUAUUUUUACAGUUGAUUCCCCAGAUCUCCUCCUUGACAUGGUAUACAACUAUAACACCCCUGAUGGUGGUGCUGUCCAUUAACAGCUGUGAAAGAUGCCAUCGAUGACCUGAAAAGGCAUCAAAGUGACGAUCGAGUCAACAACCAGCCUGUUCUGCUACUGGUGAAUGGCAAGAUAAAGGAGGACAAAUGGAUGAAUGUUCAAGUGGGAGAUAUAAUAAAACUAGAAAAUAAUCAGCCUGUCAUGGCAGAUAUACUAUUACUCUCUAGCAGUGAGCCAUAUAGUCUGACAUACAUAGAGACAGCAGACCUGGAUGGUGAAACCAACCUGAAAGUGAAGCAGGCCAUCUCAGUUACCAGUGACAUGGAAGAUCGCCUGGAGCUUCUGUCUACCUUUAAUGGAGAAGUGAGAUGUGAGGCUCCCAAUAACAAAUUGGACAAAUUCUCAGGAAUACUGACCUAUAAGGGGAAAAACUACUUCCUGGACCAUGACAAGCUGCUACUCUGAGGCUGCAACAUCAGGAAUACAGAUUGGUGCUAUGGCUUGGUGAUCUACACUGGGCCAGAUACCAAAUUAAUGCAGAAUAGUGGAAAGUCCACUUUUAAACGAACACAGAUAGACCAUCUCAUGAAUGUCCUUGUACUCUGGGUAAGUUAAAUACUUUUUUUUCUUUGUUUCUUUACAAAUAGACAUACUUCCCUUCCUUUCACAGGAGAAAUGGUAUUUCCAGUUCAGAAUUUAGCUGUUUGAAAGUCUCAAGCACAGCUUCAAGUGAAGUUAAUCUGAGGUGAAGCAAACAGAAAAUUGUGGAGGUUUUGUUGGUGUGCAAUGGAGGAACAUGGCUCAAGAAACUAAUCACAGCCAAGUACCUAUGCUUUGUUCCACUGGCUGCGGAUUUUAUGGAAACCCUCGUACAAAUGGCACGUGUUCAGUAUGCUAUAAAGAACAUCUUCAAAGACUGAAUAGUAGUAAUGGUAGAAUAAGCCAACCUGCAACCUCUGAAUCUUUACCAGUUCAAUGCACAGAUGGCAGUGUCCCAGAAGCCCAGUCAACAUUAGACUCUACAUCUUCAUCUAUGCAGCCAAGCCCUGUAUCAAAUCAGUCACUUUUAUCAGAAUCUGUAGCAUCUUCUCAAUUGGACAGUACAUCUGUGGACAAGCAGUACCUGAAACAGAAGAUCUGCAGGCUUCAGUAUCAGACAUGGCACAGCAGCCAUCUGAAGAGCAAAGCAAGUCUCUUGAAAAACCAAAACAAAAAAAGAAUCUCUGUUUCAUGUGCAGGAAGAAAGUGGGACUUACUAGGUUUGAAUGCGGUGUAGAAAUGUUUACUGUGGUGUACACUGUUACUCAGAUCUACACAAUUGCUCUUAAAAUUACAAAGCUGAUGCCGCUGAGAAAAUCAGAAAAGAAAAUCCAGUAGUUGUUGGCGAGAAGAUCCAAAAGAUUUGAACUCCUGCUGGAAUACAAAAUUCUUGAUCAUCUGCAAACUAAAAAUUGACUUGAGGUUUUUUUUUCCCUAGUCAUUGGGAAAGUAGAGCAGUGUAUCUUGCAUGUCAUCGGAUGAAUAGAUUUUUGUUUUGAUUUUGUUUUGAAAAUGACUCUGAACAUUUAUUUCCAUUGCAAUUUCUGUGGCUGAGAAGACUUAAACUUUACAAGUAUUAUCCUUAUAAGAUCAUUUUAAUUUUAGUUGAGUGCAGAGGGCUUUUAUAACAAACGUGCAGAAAUUUUGGUGGACUGUGAUUUUUCCAGUAUUAAAUAUGCAUGCAUUAAUCUUGCAGUUUAUUUUCUCAUUGUGUACAUAUAUAUUGCUUUUCUUUGCAGCACGAUUUCUCUUUUGAUAAUGCCCUUUGGGGCACAACUAGUUAUCGGUAACUGAAUGUAUCUUAAUCAUUAUGGCUGCUUCUGUUUUUUCAUUAACAAAGGUUAUUCAUAUGUUAGCAUAUAGUUUCUUUGCACCCACUAUUUAUGUCUGAAUCAUUUGUCACGAGAGUGUGUGCUGAUGAGAUUCUAAGUUUGUGUGUUUAAACUUUUUUUUGAGCGAGGGAAGAAAAAGCUGUAUGCAUUUCAUUGCUGUCUACAGGUUUCUUUCAGAUUAUGUUCAUGGGUUUGUGUGUAUACGAUAUGAAGAAUGAUCUGAAGUAAUUGUGCUGUAUUUAUGUUUAUUCACCAGUCUUUGAUUAAAUAAAAAGGAAAACCAGAAAAAAAAA
Long non-coding RNA from Homo sapiens (human), 2522 nucleotides. Ensembl annotates it as ATPase phospholipid transporting 8B5, pseudogene. Its record names the gene ATP8B5P. The record is from Ensembl. NCBI's taxonomy places the organism in Eukaryota, Metazoa, Chordata, Mammalia, Primates, Hominidae.